Amyelois transitella is the source of this 2735-nucleotide long non-coding RNA. RefSeq lists it as uncharacterized. Lineage: Eukaryota; Metazoa; Arthropoda; Insecta; Lepidoptera; Pyralidae. The transcript is spliced from 2 exons. The record is from RefSeq and is a predicted model, not a curated record.
AUUCCACAAGCAAAACGUGGUACGAUCUGUCAGUGUCGUGAUCGUGAUUUUAGUAAAAUAUAUAAUUAUUAGAAAAUGUUUAUUUCUAACGAUAUGAUAACUGUGUUUACUGUAUCCGCGGUCCUGUCAUUCGUGAUAUCAGUGGCGUUGCUACUGAUAAUAGCUGCGAAGCGAGGCUACAUGAGGGCAGGGAAGUCCAGAACAGGCCAGAUUUUCCUCCUUCCACAGCCCCAGAGCGUGGGUAAACCUUCGGCACCACCCGCCGUGGAGAUGACCCCACUCACCAAACAAUCAGCGUAGGUGAAAACCUUUAAAAAUGGAGUAUCUUGGGGGUGAACAUAUAACCGGUAAUAGCGCCAAGGGGUCAAAAAAGUUAUACAAAUCUGACUUUUAAAAAAUUACUUUGUAACUCUGCUUCGAUUUCUGUAUAGCGUGUCGACAAAAGUCGUUAGUAUUAUAAUUAGAUAAAUAAUUAAAAACUACAGUCAGCUGAAGUCGUUAUUAUAAUAUAAACAAAUUAGUAAUAAGAAACCGUAGCUAUCAUUCCCCUGAAAAAAAGUAUAAUACAUUUCUUUUGCUACUUAAAUAAAGGUAGGUACACAAUAUUGAUAUAUCGUUUUUAUAAAAAAAAUUACUUAUGUAAAAAGUAGCAUCGUGUUAGAGUUAACAGCAAAAGAAAAGAAAUUGUAGCUAUCAUUCCCCUGGCAUGUAUACCGAUUGCGACCCGGAGAGGAGCCCGGGGCCCGCUAAAUAAAAUAUUUUAGUAAAUUCAGAAAGUACGUCCUUACUGCAUGAUUGAUUAUUUAGAUUCUAAUAAUAAUUUCAAAUAUAGGAUUAUUAGUUUAUCGUCAACCAAAAAUUUUCCCUGCUCGUUAGCACGUGUUUAUAACUGUAAGUGCUGUGAGUAUAAGGAAACAAUACAAUGUGUUUUUAUGCACCCCAAGUAUUAUUCAACUAAUUAAUAGUUUCUCAAAUAAAAUUUUAUUACUUGUAAAGGAAUUCUUUUAUGGAAAUAUUUUAACCUUAAAAAAAGAUUGGCCAACAUAUCACUAGAAUAAAUAAAAUUAAAACAUUCCAUAUUUAAAAUCGUUCAAUUUAAAAUAAUGUCAAAAAAAUAAUUUUAAACAAUAAAUCAUUCCAUAAUGCUUAAUAUAGUACUUAUUUCGGUACUUCAAUUUUCAUAUUAUUUAUUCGAAUAUAACAUAAGACAAAUUAGAAUAAUUAUUAAACAAAUUAUAAUUUCUUCUUCACUUAAUGACGAUAAAAAUAUUGUUAGAUGUAAAAUAAUCUGAGGUGCUAAUUUUAUAUGUUAUAUUUUUCAUGUUUAUAUUUUCUGACUAUCUGUUAUAAAAUAUUACUACUUAUAAAUACUAAUUAUAUUUAAAAAAUAUGUAUAUCAUUAUUAAAAACAUUGCUAUAUAAUGAGUUUUUCUAUUCGGGUCAAAUAUAUAUAUAUAUAUAAUUUCAACACAAAAACAAAAUAUAACAGUAUUUCCCAAGCAAAUAUGCAAAAUUUAACACCAAUUGUCAAUGUCUCAUGGGUCAAAUUGAUAAGAAAGAGAAAAUAAAACCUAAUUAACCGAAAUGUUCUUUUAGAACCCGAGGUUCGCCAUUAAAGACUAGACCAGACCUAAAACAGUAUUAAUAUUUACACAACCGUCAACCGAAAACACUGUAACUAUGAAUAAUUCAUGAAAUAUAAUCUAUUUCCCAACCAUAACAGUUUAAUAUCACAGCACAGUGUAUUACUCGAAUAAAUCAAAUGCAUUCAUUUUGGUCAAUUCCAAUUUCACAUAACAAUUGCGCAUAUUAAUAACUUUAUUUAUGAGUCAACUUAGUGAAAUGUGUUAGUUGCAGUGUUAACUAACCAGUAAUAAAUAUUUUAAUGUAAAAAUCUUACGUCACUUUACUUUGAAUAAGAUUUACGAUAAAAUAAAAAAGUUGACUUUUUAUGCCAAAAAUUGUAUUCUUUCCAAAAUUAAUUUUAUGUUCUGUAGCUAUAAAUUGAAUUGAAAAUUAAUACAUUCAUACAUAAAAUCAUGCGUUUUUUCCGGAGGGGUAGACAGAGGCUACAUCUUUCCAAUUCUCUGCUCUCUUCUCGCAAGACGGUUUCAAGUACUUUUGCCAGAACGUCCAUAAUUUGAUCAAGGUCGUCUAGUUAUUUCAUUAAUUUUUAUAUAUUGUGUUAUAAAUUGAAUUAAAAAUGUAUUUAUGUAACAAACAAACGUAUAAAGUAUACGUAUAUAGGUAUAUUUUUCGCAACAUUAUUCAUAAAAUAGUAAAACAACAAACAUUAUCAAACCAUCUCCUAAUUAAUUGAUAGAUGGGACUUAUCCUUUUCAAAUCUCCUGGGUUUUAUAAAAGGCGAACGUAGUAGUUAUAAUUACAACAAGGGAUUUGAGAUGAACUUGAUUAAUGUUAUUUAUAUCUACUGUUUUUUGCUUACAAAAUAUUUCCUUUCUUUUCUCUUUUUUAUCUGUGUAAUUUUUUUAUAAAUUAAACUGAAUUUACUGUCUUAAUUCCAUCAUAAAGCCAUAUAGCCGAACGUGGCUUUGCAGUUUUUCAAUACGUAUUGCUCUGUCUACCCCGCGAGGGAUAUAGACUUGACAAUUUAUUUACAACUUUAUUGAGUCUCAAGUGUAAAAUAGGUUGACUGCUAAUAGGAUUCUCUACUAGUCAACGUUUAAGAAAAUAAAAAACAGAUAAAUAAUCCAAAAGUAAAAAAAAAACAUAAG